Molecule: non-coding RNA, 1154 nt
Organism: Danio rerio (zebrafish)
Lineage: Eukaryota; Metazoa; Chordata; Actinopteri; Cypriniformes; Danionidae
Source: RefSeq, a predicted model, not a curated record
GGCACUGCCAGACUGUGGUGAAAUAUAAGUCGGGGAAUACUAUGAAGGUAUUUUUGGUGCAAAACUCCCAGGCAGCUGUAAAAGUGUCAUUUGUAGUUGUAAAAAAUAGCCACACAUGUGUAUCAGUAAAUUUGUACUCGCAGAGCAAAUUUGCAAAUGCGUAUCAGUAAAUUUGUACUCGCAGAGCAAAUUUGCAAAUGUGUAGGUAUUUUUUGUCUCCAACAAACACAACGCAACAUUUACACCUGCACAAAUUCUUCAGUACAGGUGCACAAAUCCCAUCGGACGAAUCACAAAUGCAGAAACUCAUCCGCUCAUGUUCUUUGCUACUAUUGUUGCAGUGAAUAUGGUGCAAAACACAUUCACACACCUGCAUCCAGAAAUGUGAAGUCACAGACAAAACUUGCACAUCUGUAGAUUAGAAUGUGUAUCCGCACAAAGAGAGCUGAACGUGUGUAGAAUGUUUGAUUAUUUUUUUUCUAAGCACGAACACAAAUAUGUUCCUGCAACUGCUCAAAUCUGCCGCUACAAGUCUCAAGCGCUGUUUUUCACUUGCAAAUCUACAUUUCGCUCUCUCGCUCUUCUGCACCAAAAAUCACUGUGACAUUUGGUGCAAAAGUUACUUGUGUAUCUGCCAACCAAAACGUGGGCUCUCAGAGAAAUUCAGCCAAUAGGGGAUGGGGCGUGACGUCACCGCUCUAGCGCUGCGGAGGCUGAACGUCGAAACCGAAACCCCCUUUGCGAGAUUCGCUGCAUCUAUACCUGAUUUGCGUUCAAAAAUGCCUGCUUAAUUAUUUCAUAGUAGGAGCAAACAUGCCUUAAGAAAAGGAGUAGGUUUGAAACUUUAGUAACCAUAAAAAGUACGCCAGGUGGAUGCCUUUCUACUCCAGGAAGCCGCAGCCUACGGCCUGAAGGAGGAAGAGGACGCGGUCAGUUUGAAAUAGCUGAAUCGAUGACAUCCUGAUAGCAGCAAUACAAUUAAGACAGAAGCCCAUGUUUUGCUGUAUCUCCACACAGCUGGGCCAGUUCUUCAGAUGAUCAGAGGGACUUCGCCAUCAUCACAUCCCUCAUUGCUGCAGUCAGACUGAAACAGGACGGUGAUGCAUGGCAGUCCAUGCCCGAGAUACGGAUGAUGAAGAGACCACAGCAACAUC